Molecule: ribosomal RNA, 254 nt
Filed under: uncultured bacterium
Lineage: Bacteria
Description: partial 16S ribosomal RNA
Rfam family: Archaeal small subunit ribosomal RNA
Source: RNAcentral
UACCGGCAGCACGAGUGAUGACCGCUAUUAUUGGGCCUAAAGCGUCCGUAGCUGGCCAUGCAAGUCCAUCGGGAAAUCCGCGCGCUUAACGCGCGGGCGUCCGGUGGAAACUGCAUGGCUUGGGACCGGAAGACCAGAGGGGUACGUCCGGGGUAGGAGUGAAAUCUCGUAAUCCUGGACGGACCACCGGUGGCGAAAGCGCCUCUGGAAGACGGAUCCGACGGUGAGGGACGAAAGCUCGGGUCACGAACUGG